ACGUAGGGUGCAAGCGUUGUCCGGAUUUACUGGGCGUAAAGGACGCGUAGGCGGUUCGUUAAGUGUGAAGUGAAAUCUCCAGGGCUCAACCCGGAAACUGCUUUACAUACUGGCGGACUGGAGGGAUGCAGAGGUAAGUAGAAUUCCUGGUGUAGCGGUGAAAUGCGUUGAUAUCAGGAGGAAUACCGAUGGCGAAGGCAGCUUACUGGGCAUCAUCUGACGCUGAGGCGUGAAAGCGUGGGUAGCAAACAG
Molecule: ribosomal RNA, 252 nt
Filed under: uncultured prokaryote
Description: partial 16S rRNA
Rfam family: Bacterial small subunit ribosomal RNA
Source: RNAcentral